This 532-nucleotide ribosomal RNA is filed under the name uncultured bacterium. RNAcentral describes it as "bacterial SSU rRNA". It matches the Rfam family "Bacterial small subunit ribosomal RNA", at positions 979 to 1509 of the family's 1533-position model. The record is from RNAcentral.
CCUUGACAUACUAAGAACUUUCCAGAGAUGGAUUGGUGCCUUCGGGAACUUUAGAUACAGGUGCUGCAUGGCUGUCGUCAGCUCGUGUCGUGAGAUGUUGGGUUAAGUCCCGNAACGAGCGCAACCCUUUUCCUAUUUGCCAGCGGGUCAUGCCGGGAACUUUUAAGGAUACUGCCAGUGACAAACUGGAGGAAGGCGGGGACGACGUCAAGUCAUCAUGGCCCUUACGGCCAGGGCUACACACGUGCUACAAUGGUCGGUACAAAGGGUUGCUACCUCGCGAGAGGAUGCUAAUCUCAAAAAGCCGAUCGUAGUCCGGAUCGCAGUCUGCAACUCGACUGCGUGAAGUCGGAAUCGCUAGUAAUCGCGGAUCAGAAUGCCGCGGUGAAUACGUUCCCGGGCCUUGUACACACCGCCCGUCACACCAUGGGAGUUUGUUGCACCAGAAGUAGGUAGUCUAACCGCAAGGAGGACGCUUACCACGGUGUGGCCGAUGACUGGGGUGAAGUCGUAACAAGGUAGGCGUAGAUGA